This 1407-nucleotide ribosomal RNA is filed under the name metagenome. Its description in RNAcentral is "bacterial SSU rRNA". It matches the Rfam family "Bacterial small subunit ribosomal RNA". The record is from RNAcentral.
UCUGGUAAAGGUUGGCGAGUGGCGGACGGGUGAGUAAUGUAUAGGAAUCUGCCUUAAAGAGUGGGAUAACUUAGGGAAACUUAAGCUAAUACCACAUAAUGUCUACGGACCAAAGCUGGGGACCGCAAGGCCUGGCGCUUUAGGAUGAGCCUAUAUUGGAUUAGCUGGUUGGUGGGGUAAAGGCCUACCAAGGCGACGAUCCAUAGCUGGUUUGAGAGAACGACCAGCCACACUGGGACUGAGACACGGCCCAGACUCCUACGGGAGGCAGCAGUGGGGAAUCUUGGACAAUGGGGGAAACCCUGAUCCAGCGAUACCGCGUGUGUGAAGAAGGCCUGCGGGUUGUAAAGCACUUUUAGUGGUGAGAAAAGACGCUAGUUUAAGAGAUAGGCGUUUUGAUGUUAGCCAAAGAAAAAGCACCGGCAAACUCUGUGCCAGCAGCCGCGGUAAUACAGAGGGUGCAAGCGUUAAUCGGAAUGACUGGGCGUAAAGGGCGUGUAGGCGGUUAAAUAAGUUAGUUGUGAAAUACCAGAGCUUAACUCUGGAAUGUCAACUAAAACUGUUUGACUAGAGUGUAGCAGAGGUAAGGGGAAUUUCCGGUGUAGCGGUGAAAUGCGUAGAUAUCGGAAGGAACACCAAUGGCGAAGGCAACUUACUGGGCUAUUACUGACGCUGAGGCGCGAAAGCGUGGGUAGCGAACAGGAUUAGAUACCCUGGUAGUCCACGCUGUAAACGAUGAGUACUAGCUGUUUUGAUAUCGAUAUUAAAGUAGCGAAGCUAACGCGUUAAGUACUCCGCCUGGGGAUUACGACCGCAAGGUUAAAACUCAAAGGAAUUGACGGGGGCCCGCACAAGCGGUGGAGCAUGUGGUUUAAUUCGAUGCAACGCGAAGAACCUUACCCACUCUUGACAUCCUAGGAACUUGUCAGAAAUGAUUAGGUGCCCGCAAGGGAACCUAGAGACAGGUGCCGCAUGGCUGUCGUCAGCUCGUGUUGUGAAAUGUUGGGUUAAGUCCCCUAACGAGCGCAACCCUUGUUCUUAGUUGCUAACAAAUAAUGUUGAGGACUCUAAGAAGACCGCCGGUGAUAAACUGGAGGAAGGUGGGGACGACGUCAAGUCAUCAUGGCCUUUAUGAGUGGGGCUACACACGUGCUACAAUGGGCAUUACAGAGGGUCGCCAACCCGUGAGGGGGAGCAAAUCCUUUAAAGAUGCUCGUAGUCCGGAUUGCAGUCUGCAACUCGACUGCGUGAAGUUGGAAUCGCUAGUAAUCGCGAAUCAGAAUGUCGCGGUGAAUACGUUCUCGGGCCUUGUACACACCGCCCGUCACACCAUGGGAGUGGGUUGUACCAGAAGCAGGUAGACUAACCUUUAUUGGAGGUCGCCUACCACGGUAUGAUUCAUGACUG